RNAcentral lists this ribosomal RNA (369 nucleotides) under uncultured Glomeromycotina. RNAcentral describes it as "LSU rRNA". Lineage: Eukaryota; Fungi; Glomeromycota. The record is from RNAcentral.
UUUGAAAGGAUUGAAGCCAGUCGUGCCGACGAGAAAUCAGUUCUUCGAGUGGAGGAUCGUGUGUGCGUAGAGUUUAACCACCUUCGUUGCGUGCGAUACCUGUGCUUCUGGGGCGUACUUUUUCGUAUGGUAGGUCAACAUCGAUUUUGGUUGCCAUAAAAUGGCCGGAGGAAUGUAGCUUCGAUUUCGGUUGAAGUGUUAUAGCCUCUGGUAGAUGUAGUGAUUGGGACUGAGGAUUGCAACGAAUAUCCUUUGGGCUAUCCGUCUGAUCUCUGAUAGUUGCUCAGGUGCCGAAAGCGUGCUUACGGUCAUCUAAGUUGACGGUCAAUAGGUUAGAACGUGAUUACAUUCGUUAAGGAUGUUGACUAA